RNAcentral lists this ribosomal RNA (775 nucleotides) under uncultured Providencia sp. RNAcentral describes it as "bacterial SSU rRNA". It matches the Rfam family "Bacterial small subunit ribosomal RNA", at positions 723 to 1502 of the family's 1533-position model. Lineage: Bacteria; Pseudomonadati; Pseudomonadota; Gammaproteobacteria; Enterobacterales; Morganellaceae. The record is from RNAcentral.
CGGCCCCUGGACAAGACUGACGCUCAGGUGCGAAGCGUGGGGAGCAAACAGGAUUAGAUACCUGGUAGUCACGCUGUAAACGAUGUCGAUUUGGAGGUUGUUCCCUUGAGGAGUGGCUUCCGGAGCUAACGCGUUAAAUCGACCGCUGGGGAGUACGGCCGCAAGGUUAAAACUCAAAUGAAUUGACGGGGGCCCGCACAAGCGGUGGAGCAUGUGGUUUAAUUCGAUGCAACGCGAAGAACCUUACCUACUCUUGACAUCCAGAGAAUUUAGCAGAGAUGCUUUAGUGCCUUCGGGAACUCUGAGACAGGUGCUGCAUGGCUGUCGUCAGCUCGUGUUGUGAAAUGUUGGGUUAAGUCCCGCAACGAGCGCAACCCUUAUCCUUUGUUGCCAGCACAUUAUGGUGGGAACUCAAAGGAGACUGCCGGUGAUAAACCGGAGGAAGGUGGGGAUGACGUCAAGUCAUCAUGGCCCUUACGAGUAGGGCUACACACGUGCUACAAUGGCGUAUACAAAGAGAAGCGACCUCGCGAGAGCAAGCGGAACUCAUAAAGUACGUCGUAGUCCGGAUUGGAGUCUGCAACUCGACUCCAUGAAGUCGGAAUCGCUAGUAAUCGUAGAUCAGAAUGCUACGGUAAAUACGUUCCCGGGCCUUGUACACACCGCCCGUCACACCAUGGGAGUGGGUUGCAAAAGAAGUAGGUAGCUUAACCUUCGGGAGGGCGCUUACCACUUUGUGAUUCAUGACUGGGGUGAAGUCGUAACAAGGUAACCA